Thalassophryne amazonica is the source of this 157-nucleotide long non-coding RNA. RefSeq lists it as uncharacterized. NCBI's taxonomy places the organism in Eukaryota, Metazoa, Chordata, Actinopteri, Batrachoidiformes, Batrachoididae. The record is from RefSeq and is a predicted model, not a curated record. The transcript has 3 exons.
UAAUUCAGGUGACUGUUUCCACUGAUCGUCCAUGAAAUGUUUCUGCAGCUUAAUUGGAGUCCACCUGGGGUAAAUGCAGUUGAUUGGACAUGAUUUGGAAAGGCACACACCUGUCUACAUGUAAGGUCCCACAGUUGACAGUGCAUGUCAGAGCACA